This 330-nucleotide ribosomal RNA is filed under the name uncultured bacterium. RNAcentral's name for it is "bacterial SSU rRNA". It matches the Rfam family "Bacterial small subunit ribosomal RNA", at positions 8 to 334 of the family's 1533-position model. The record is from RNAcentral.
AGGGUUCGAUUCUGCUCAGGACGAACGCUGGCGGCGCGCCUAACACAUGCAAGUCGAACGGAGCUUAGAGAGCUUGCUUUUUAAGCUUAGUGGCGAACGGGUGAGUAACGCGUGAGUAACCUGCCCUGGAGUGGGGGACAACAGUUGGAAACGACUGCUAAUACCGCAUAAGCCCACGGUACCGCAUGGUACUGAGGGAAAAGGAUUUAUUCGCUUUAGGAUGGACUCGCGUCCAAUUAGCUAGUUGGUGAGGUAACGGCCCACCAAGGCGACGAUUGGUAGCCGGACUGAGAGGUUGAACGGCCACAUUGGGACUGAGACACGGCCCAG